AUGAACGCACGCAGGCCUAACACAUGCAAGUCGAGGGAGGAGCCUUCGGGCUUCGACCGGCGUACGGGUGCGUAACGCGUAUACAAUCUGCCUUUCACAUAGGGAUAGCCCGAAGAAAUUUGGAUUAAUACCUAAUGGUAUAUAGGAGUGGCAUCACAUUUAUAUUAAAGCUGAGGCGGUGAAAGAUGAGUAUGUGUUCUAUUAGCUAGUUGGAGAGGUAACGGCUCCCCAAGGCUACGAUAGAUAGGGGUUCUGAGAGGGAUAUCCCCCACACUGGUACUGAGAUACGGACCAGACUCCUACGGGAGGCAGCAGUGAGGAAUAUUGGACAAUGGUCGGAAGACUGAUCCAGCCAUGCCGCGUGCAGGAAGACGGCCUUAUGGGUUGUAAACUGCUUUUGCAGGGGAAGAAUAAGGACUACGCGUAGUUUGAUGACGGUACUCUGCGAAUAAGCAUCGGCUAA
This 463-nucleotide ribosomal RNA is filed under the name Capnocytophaga sp. oral taxon 329. RNAcentral's name for it is "bacterial SSU rRNA". It matches the Rfam family "Bacterial small subunit ribosomal RNA", at positions 29 to 500 of the family's 1533-position model. Lineage: Bacteria; Pseudomonadati; Bacteroidota; Flavobacteriia; Flavobacteriales; Flavobacteriaceae. The record is from RNAcentral.